AUCACCAAAAAAUAACUUUUGAGAGUUUGGAGAAUAGAGGUAACUAUCAUUCAUCAAGAGAUUCAUUCAUUUCACAUGUAACAUUAUUUUACUUUAUCUUUAUCUCUUUUGCAAUGAUUUUUCUUAGAAUAAUUGGCUAUUUUUAUUAGAUUAGGCCAUUAGAUGAAUCUAACCUAGAUUUAUGUGAAACAUGCUAUUCCUUUAGUAUUGUUCAUUGUAAUAAUAAACCCUUGUAUUAUUCAACAACAAUUGAUUUUAAUGUUAUAAAUUGUUGACAAGCAGGUUAAUCCCAAAUCGUUAACGCAAUUGAUUUUUUUUUUUUUGUUGGAAUCUUAUGAAUAUAUCAUAGUAAUCCAUAUUGGAAUAUUGCAAAGGUGUUAACAAUCUUAAGGGUCAAAAUACUAUUUACUUAUGCAUACAUGUAUAUAUAAUAUAGAUUUGAUAGUCUAUUCAAAUUGUGAUUUUGUUGGUUGUGUUUAUUCUCACAAAUUAACACUCAUGUACAUUUUUAUGAUGGUUAGAGGAGCUAUUUCAAUGAGAAAUAUCAAAGAAAACUCUAGUUGCUACUUCUUUGAAAUAUGAGUUUGUCACUUUUUUUGUUGUAAGAAUACUACACAUGGUGUAUGACUUAAGAUUUUUAUUUCUAAUGAUAAUUGAAUGAUUGUCUUUAUGAAUAAGAAGAAAAAAAAAGGAAUUCAAAGAAUUAGUGGUCAUUGAUCAAAUUAUUUUUGAUUUAUAAUUGUUGAUACUUUAAUUAAUGACAUGCCAGUAGUGAUAUAUUAAAGGAUCAUAUAGAGAAAAUGAGACUUGGCUUUGAACACGUAAUUUAAUAACAACCUUUAUAUUGUAAUAUUUUGUCAUAUUCGUGCAUAAGAUUUUGAUAAAAUAUAUUUUAUUUAGAUAAAGAAUAAACAUAUAAUUUAUUUAUUAAGUUUAUGCUACCACAUUAGAUAAUAAGUAGAUGAUAGUACUCGCUUUCAAAAGAGCUCUCUAUGGUUCAUGAGCUUAUUUUUAAAGAGAUUAAUUAAUAUGCACUGUCAGUGUAAAAAAUUUUACACUAUCGAUUCAUCACCAUCACCCGUUUGCAUUACUUUAUAGAUUUUAAAAAUAAAAGUCAAAUUUGUCCCAAUAUCCAACGGUUAUAAUUUACUGACGGUGUAAAAUUCUUUUACACUAACAGUGUAUAUCAAUUAAAUUCAUUUUUAAAAUAAGUUGUUUGAUAAGUUAUCUAGGUCAAUAGUUACUUCAUAUAAACUUAAGUGCAAGAAUAUAAUAAUCAUUUUUUUUUCAAUUUAUAUGAAUAAAAACUUUCUAUUUAGUGGUUAAUAAGUAGUGGAAAUUUGGUUGUUGAAGGGUCUUAAUUGUAAUGGUUUUGAAUAUUAAUCAUCGAUAGUAGAAUCAAUAAGAAACAUAGUACUUGGUUCUUAAAUUUUCUCUCAUUCCAUUAUUCAAAAUAUACAUAUAGGAUAUACAACCAAUUUGAGAGAACUAAAUAUAAUGCACUUGUAUUAUAUUUGCAUUAUAAAUACAUAUAAUUUCUAUUUCCACAUUUGAUUAUUGAUCUUGGUUGUUCUUUGUUUAUUCGAAACAUACAAUGAACAAUAGUUGAACAAAUUAUUUAUAAUGUAUUGUUCCAUAUAAUUCUUUUACACACUAUUUUAAAUAUUUUUUCCCUAAUAUAUCAUAAUAUUUAUUUAGUUUAUAUCACUCACAUGUCUUAUACUAAAUUUAAAAGAACUACAUUAUUAUUCUAAAAACCCAUAUUUGAUCUUUAUUUAUUAAAUUAAAUUAUUAAAAUUAUUCAAUGAAGUUGAUGUUCUUAAUAUCUACUAUGAGCAAACAACAUAACAAUACUUGAAUAAUACAAUAUUAAUACACUUAUAAAUUUAUCAAAAUAUAAUGAAAGGUCACAUAAGCAUAAACUAAAGUGCGAGAAAUUUCAUAAUAUUAGAAACAUUGUAACAUACAAAUCAAGUUGUAAAUUAAUUAUUCAAUCACCAAAUUGUAAACUAAUUAUUCAAUCACC
This 2026-nucleotide long non-coding RNA is filed under the name Lathyrus oleraceus (garden pea). Its description in RNAcentral is "Pisum sativum (pea) long non-coding RNA (PSAT_LNC022472)". Lineage: Eukaryota; Viridiplantae; Streptophyta; Magnoliopsida; Fabales; Fabaceae. The record is from RNAcentral.